CUCUUAUCAAGAGUUGGCAGAGGGACUUGGCCCAAUGAAGCCGCAGCAACCGACCAUACUACCAUUGCAAAAUGGGGUGAAAUGAGUUCACCUUGGAUUUUAUCCAGUAGGGCACGGUGCUAAUUCCAUCAGAAAGUAUAUCUUUCUGACAGAUGAGAG
Molecule: non-coding RNA, 159 nt
Filed under: Bacillus sp. (in: firmicutes)
Lineage: Bacteria; Bacillati; Bacillota; Bacilli; Caryophanales; Bacillaceae
Description: Bacillus sp. SAM-I sequence
Rfam family: SAM riboswitch aptamer (S box leader)
About the family: The SAM riboswitch is found upstream of a number of genes which code for proteins involved in methionine or cysteine biosynthesis in Gram-positive bacteria.
Source: RNAcentral